ACACAUGCAGUCGAGCGGGGAANGGUNGCUUGCUACCUGACCUAGCGGCGGACGGGUGAGUAAUGCUUAGGAAUCUGCCUAUUAGUGGGGGACAACAUUCCGAAAGGAAUGCUAAUACCGCAUACGCCCUACGGGGGAAAGCAGGGGAUCUUCGGACCUUGCGCUAAUAGAUGAGCCUAAGUCAGAUUAGCUAGUUGGUGGGGUAAAGGCCUACCAAGGCGACGAUCUGUAGCGGGUCUGAGAGGAUGAUCCGCCACACUGGGACUGAGACACGGCCCAGACUCCUACGGGAGGCAGCAGUGGGGAAUAUUGGACAAUGGGCGCAAGCCUGAUCCAGCCAUGCCGCGUGUGUGAAGAAGGCCUUUUGGUUGUAAAGCACUUUAAGCGAGGAGGAGGCUACUNNNAUUAAUACUCUNGGAUAGUGGACGUUACUCGCAGAAUAAGCACCGGCUAACUCUGUGCCAGCAGCCGCGGUAAUACAGAGGGUGCGAGCGUUAAUCGGAUUUACUGGGCGUAAAGCGUGCGUAGGCGGCUUUUUAAGUCGGAUGUGAAAUCCCUGAGCUUAACUUAGGAAUUGCAUUCGAUACUGG
RNAcentral lists this ribosomal RNA (590 nucleotides) under unidentified microorganism. Its description in RNAcentral is "bacterial SSU rRNA". It matches the Rfam family "Bacterial small subunit ribosomal RNA", at positions 51 to 636 of the family's 1533-position model. The record is from RNAcentral.